GAUUUGAAGGUCAAGGUAAGGGUAAUCAAUUAACAUUUGAGCUGAUAUAUUCACCCUUGAAAAAAAGUAGUAAGUGGAAUUGUGGAAAGCUUACAAGGAUCUUAGUUCAGUUAGCCCUCCAAUGUCACCACUCAACUUCCCCUUGAGACCCAUGCUAGACAAACCCCUGCAUCCAAAUCAAGUUUCAAAGGAUCACAGGCAAUGAGAAAAACCCAUCUUAGUCACCAUCAAUCAACACAUCCACUACUCGAAACAAGUUACUAACAAAGCAGAAACUCUUGAGUUUUUGCAGGUGACUCCUUCCCACGAUCCGCAUGGAUCAUCUGACUGUGUCCAGCUGGGCGGAAGGUUCCUCCAUAUCUCUUUUAACGAUUGCAGCGCUGCACCUGCAUUUUGUUCACGAGUACUCGAAUCAUUUCUCGAUGUAAAUGUAUCAAAUCGUCUAUAACCACUCAGUUUUUUUUCACUUACCGUCACGAGGGUCUGUGGCAGAUAAACUGACAUGAACUGCUGCACUGAAGAACAUAACAAAAGUAAGCAAUCCCCUCAUCGUUGCUAUCACACCCGAAUGCAGCUGGGCUAGCUAUCCCCAAAAAUGGUAUUGCUUGAUUUCGUUUCAGAAUCAACUAUACGCUAAGCAAAGGAGAUUGACCAGCAGCUGGAUCUGAUUACGCAGUGGCAUUGUGGAAUUGGCUGCAGUUUGAGAGGCAAACAGAGGAAGCGAAGAGUUAAGAGAAGUAAAAAGAAGGCAAAAGCGGAAAAAGGAAGGUACGUGGUAGUUAAAUUCUGCUAAAAUUUCAUAUAAAUUUGAUCAACUUUACUUGUGCCCAUCAGAUUGAAUGAUGUUAUCUUGUCUUAGAAGCCACUCUAUUGCCCCCCUCCCAUACCAACCACAAGUAUCUAGUAGGAUUAGUUAAGGGAAAAUGGAGCAUCAUGAUUAGAUCUCAUCUGCUAGUUACUACAAACUCAAGUCUUCUAAACCCCACUAACAAUCUUACAUAACAACCUAUGUCAAUGUGCAAUGUGUAAUGAUUCGACAUUUUUUUCAUUGAUAGUGAUAGCGGCGUGAUCAGGAUUUUGGCCAAGUGGGGUCCAUAAAAAAAUUAGUAAUUUUUUUUAAAUCUUCUCCUUUAGUAAUACUCCAUGAGGAAUUCUCAUGUCGAAAAAGGAUUACACAAUUUAUUGAUUACAUGAAAUGCUAACAACAUCUUUCUAUAUAUAGCCACAACCACAUAUUUAAUUAUUUAAUCUCUUAUUUGAUUGUCAAGUAAUCGAAUCAUACGAGUUUUGACUUAUUUUAAGUGGGGUUUAAAGUUCGAUGAUGUGUAGAUCAUCGAACAUCCCCUUUUUAACUUAGUGACACUAUAAUAUCCUUGCAUUUCAAAUACCUAUAUUUCGAAAUACAACCAUCGAUACACACCUGAAAUCUUAUUUCUCCCAUUAUGUACAUAGAUUCUAUGUCUACAAGCAUCACUAUCAUACAAAGCAUCAAAAUAUCAAAUCCAGUUCAUCUGCAGGCAAUGGCUGGCUGAUCAGCAUCAGAUUUCUGAAACGACUCUGAAGUGAGAGAUCUGGAUGUUUUCAACAGCAAACUUCUUGAAGUUGCUGCCUUUCCUG
This 1617-nucleotide long non-coding RNA is filed under the name Linum usitatissimum (flax). RNAcentral describes it as "long non-coding RNA (LUSI_LNC003608)". Lineage: Eukaryota; Viridiplantae; Streptophyta; Magnoliopsida; Malpighiales; Linaceae. The record is from RNAcentral.